Molecule: ribosomal RNA, 253 nt
Filed under: uncultured bacterium
Lineage: Bacteria
Description: partial 16S ribosomal RNA
Rfam family: Bacterial small subunit ribosomal RNA
Source: RNAcentral
UACAGAGGGUGCAAGCGUUGUUCGGAAUUAUUGGGCGUAAAGCGCGUGUAGGCGGCUUUGCAAGUCGGGUGUGAAAGCCCUCAGCUCAACUGAGGAAGUGCGCCCGAAACUGCAGAGCUUGAGUACCGGAGAGGAUGGCGGAAUUCCCCAAGUAGAGGCGAAAUUCGUAGAUAUGGGGAGGAACACCGGUGGCGAAGGCGGCCAUCUGGACGGUCACUGACGCUGAGACGCGAAAGCGUGGGUAGCAAACAGG